GGCAAUCUGCCCUGCACUCUGGGACAAGCCCUGGAAACGGGGUCUAAUACCGGAUACUGAACCUGCCUGGGCAUCCAGGUGGUUCGAAAGCUCCGGCGGUGCAGGAUGAGCCCGCGGCCUAUCAGCUUGUUGGUGAGGUAAUGGCUCACCAAGGCGACGACGGGUAGCCGGCCUGAGAGGGCGACCGGCCACACUGGGACUGAGACACGGCCCAAACUCCUACGGGAGGCAGCAGUGGGGAAUAUUGCACAAUGGGCGCAAGCCUGAUGCAGCGACGCCGCGUGAGGGAUGACGGCCUUCGGGUUGUAAACCUCUUUCAGCAGGGAAGAAGCGAAAGUGACGGUACCUGCAGAAAAAGCGCCGGCUAACUACGUGCCAGCAGCCGCGGUAAUACGUAGGGCGCGAGCGUUGUCCGGAAUUAUUGGGCGUAAAGAGCUCGUAGGCGGCUUGUCACGUCGGUUGUGAAAGCCCGGGGCUUAACCCCGGGUCUGCAGUCGAUACGGGCAGGCUAGAGUUCGGUAGGGGAGAUCGGAAUUCCUGGUGUAGCGGUGAAAUGCGCAGAUAUCAGGAGGAACACCGGUGGCGAAGGCGGAUCUCUGGGCCGAUACUGACGCUGAGGAGCGAAAGCGUGGGGAGCGAACAGGAUUAGAUACCCUGGUAGUCCACGCCGUAAACGGUGGGCACUAGGUGUGGGCGACAUUCCACGUCGUCCGUGCCGCAGCUAACGCAUUAAGUGCCCCGCCUGGGGAGUACGGCCGCAAGGCUAAAACUCAAAGGAAU
This 780-nucleotide ribosomal RNA is filed under the name Streptomyces sp. DWM97. RNAcentral describes it as "bacterial SSU rRNA". It matches the Rfam family "Bacterial small subunit ribosomal RNA", at positions 120 to 910 of the family's 1533-position model. Lineage: Bacteria; Bacillati; Actinomycetota; Actinomycetes; Kitasatosporales; Streptomycetaceae. The record is from RNAcentral.